RNAcentral lists this ribosomal RNA (253 nucleotides) under uncultured bacterium. Its description in RNAcentral is "partial 16S ribosomal RNA". It matches the Rfam family "Bacterial small subunit ribosomal RNA", at positions 524 to 776 of the family's 1533-position model. The record is from RNAcentral.
UACGAAGGGGGCUAGCGUUGUUCGGAAUUACUGGGCGUAAAGGGCGCGUAGGCGGUCCCUCAAGUCAGGCGUGAAAGCCCCGGGCUCAACCUGGGAACCGCGCUUGAGACUGGUGGACUCGAGUUCGGGAGAGGAUGGUGGAAUUCCCAGUGUAGAGGUGAAAUUCGUAGAUAUUGGGAAGAACACCGAUGGCGAAGGCAGCCAUCUGGACCGACACUGACGCUGAGGCGCGAAAGCGUGGGGAGCAAACAGG